UUUAAGUGCAACCAUAGUUUUCAUGCCCAAUUUUGAUCAUUCGUCUUAUUUAAAUUUUUUUAUAAUUAGUAUUUUUAUUGUUAUGAGAUGAGAAAACAUGAAUAGUAAUUUAUACAUGACUUAUGUCUUUAAAUUUUUUAAAAUUUUUUCAAAUAAGACGGAUGAUUAAAGUUAUGCAUGGAAAAUCAUGGCUGCACAACAC
Oryza barthii is the source of this 202-nucleotide non-coding RNA. NCBI's taxonomy places the organism in Eukaryota, Viridiplantae, Streptophyta, Magnoliopsida, Poales, Poaceae. The record is from Rfam.